This 482-nucleotide ribosomal RNA is filed under the name uncultured bacterium. Its description in RNAcentral is "partial 16S ribosomal RNA". It matches the Rfam family "Bacterial small subunit ribosomal RNA", at positions 30 to 507 of the family's 1533-position model. The record is from RNAcentral.
AUUGAACGCUGGCGGCAUGCCUUACACAUGCAAGUCGAACGGUAACAGGUCUUCGGAUGCUGACGAGUGGCGAACGGGUGAGUAAUACAUCGGAACGUGCCCAGACGUGGGGGAUAACGAGGCGAAAGCUUUGCUAAUACCGCAUACGAUCUAAGGAUGAAAGCAGGGGACCGCAAGGCCUUGCGCGUUUGGAGCGGCCGAUGGCAGAUUAGGUAGUUGAUGGGAUAAAAGCUUACCAAGCCGACGAUCUGUAGCUGGUCUGAGAGGACGACCAGCCACACUGGGACUGAGACACGGCCCAGACUCCUACGGGAGGCAGCAGUGGGGAAUUUUGGACAAUGGGCGAAAGCCUGAUCCAGCAAUGCCGCGUGCAGGAUGAAGGCCUUCGGGUUGUAAACUGCUUUUGUACGGAACGAAAAGGCUCUGGCUAAUACCUGGGGCACAUGACGGUACCGUAAGAAUAAGCACCGGCUAACUACGUG